RNAcentral lists this transfer RNA (71 nucleotides) under Cavia porcellus (domestic guinea pig). It matches the Rfam family "tRNA". Rfam says of the family: Transfer RNA (tRNA) molecules are approximately 80 nucleotides in length. Lineage: Eukaryota; Metazoa; Chordata; Mammalia; Rodentia; Caviidae. The record is from Rfam by way of RNAcentral.
GGGGAUAUAGCUCAGUAGCACAGCAUAUACCUGGCAAGCAUGAGGUCCUGAGUUCAAUUCUUGGUACCCCA